CAUUCACGGAGAGUUUGAUCCUGGCUCAGGACGAACGCUGGCGGCGUGCUUAACACAUGCAAGUCGAACGAUGAACCUCCUUCGGGAGGGGAUUAGUGGCGAACGGGUGAGUAACACGUGGGCAAUCUGCCCUGCACUCUGGGACAAGCCCUGGAAACGGGGUCUAAUACCGGAUACUGACCCGCUUGGGCAUCCAAGCGGUUCGAAAGCUCCGGCGGUGCAGGAUGAGCCCGCGGCCUAUCAGCUUGUUGGUGAGGUAAUGGCUCACCAAGGCGACGACGGGUAGCCGGCCUGAGAGGGCGACCGGCCACACUGGGACUGAGACACGGCCCAGACU
This 337-nucleotide ribosomal RNA is filed under the name Actinospica acidiphila. Its description in RNAcentral is "bacterial SSU rRNA". It matches the Rfam family "Bacterial small subunit ribosomal RNA", at positions 1 to 337 of the family's 1533-position model. Lineage: Bacteria; Bacillati; Actinomycetota; Actinomycetes; Catenulisporales; Actinospicaceae. The record is from RNAcentral.